Equus quagga is the source of this 2045-nucleotide long non-coding RNA. RefSeq lists it as uncharacterized. Lineage: Eukaryota; Metazoa; Chordata; Mammalia; Perissodactyla; Equidae. The transcript is spliced from 4 exons. The record is from RefSeq and is a predicted model, not a curated record.
GAAGACUCAGAUGCCACUUUGGGGAGAGUCUGCCGCACACUCUCUGCAGCUGCCGAGGACUUGAACACUAAGUCCUUUAGCCUCAUCCUGCCCUGCCUGGGAGCUUUGGUGUGUGGGGAAUACUGGAGUUUGUCAAGAACCAUUUUAUUCUGAUGUAAUUACCAUAAAUAUUUGGGGCUCAAAGACAGAGAAAAACCACCGGACUGCAGGGUGCUGAUGGUGGUGGAGGGGAGGAGCCCCCUGAGUUCUCUUGGCGCCUGAUGCCAGGGCAGGAGCAGGAGCAGGUGUCACUGGCACAAGACAGGUGCUGUUGAGGCACGUGGAGCGAUGUGGAAAACAUGCCCAGAGACCUCAGAGACCGGUGAGCCUCAAGGAUCUGAUGUGGCACCUGAGGAGUGUUUGACACACUGAGCGAGCCUGGCGCUCAGAUUCAGCUGUGUGCUCUGUGUGUCCAGCCCCCAUAACUAAGAUGUGGAGCCUCCACUUUUGUGAGAACUAGAUUUUCUCACUUAUUCCUCAAGAGAGGAAGUGUAAGUUCGAUCAGUCAUUGAGUCUGUACACCCACUUACAUCUCUGAAAAGACUGACAGCAAGAGGAUUACGGAAACAAAUCAUGGUUCCUAAUGCUGUAGCUUGUCCUACAACUGGUUCUCAUCAUCCUCUCGAUUCACCAUCGGUUCUAGAUUCCCUGUUACUCAGCCAUCACUGAUCUGGCCAGGAUGAUUUGCCUGAUGGUCGACGCAGCUCUUUACCCUCAUGGGAUAUUACCUUGCUCCUAUUUGGGCUGUGGCACCUGCAGUUGCCCGUUUAUCAUUCUUACGGGCACACGGAAUCACCAAGACAUGACCCGUGUGGCUUCUGAAUUCUAAACAUGCUCUUCCCUGACCAUCGUGUACAAGAGACCUAGAACUUCCUGUUGAUGGAGGCUGAUGGUUUCUCCCAAAGAACUGAGACUUCCAACCUGUGGAGUCAGAGGCUGCAGGGAAGAGAAGCACAGAUCCUACAAGCGGGGCACUGGAGAGAUGAUGCUGGCAGAAGACACAAGACUCUUAGAUCAGAGACAGACUUUCCUCAGCACAGCAAGCAGCACGAUGGGCAUCAGUUGCCUGGUCUCAAGCGUCCUGGAGGUGAGACAGAAGGCCGGGUAGCAUGCGGGAGCUGUGCAUCACGACGGAGGAAUACUCACCUCGGGGAAGCUGUUGUUUUAUAGUCAGCAUUAAACACACCUCGUCUCUGUCCUGGGGGAGACGUUGCCUCAUCCCCCAAGGCUGAUGCUCCAAGCACAGCCCUGAGAAAUGGCCGGGGAAGAGCUAUGAGGACUUGGCUUUCUGGGCACACCCAGGAAGAAUGUGCAGGGGUGCUAGGGGCUAUGGCAGACGCCCUGUCCCAAUGACACCAAACCUCUUAACCUCAAGUUCAUGUGCCCAACAUGCAGCAAGCCAAACACUGAGUCAUCGGUGCUUCGAGAUGAAGAAAGGUUUAUUCAAAUUGGCCAAAACGAGAAGGUGGGAGCCUGGGUUCUCUCAAAUCCGCCUCCCCAGGAACAGAGAGCCGGGGUUUGAGGUAAGAGGCUUGACAGGAGGAGCUUCGGAGAAACAAAGGGGUCACCCCGACAAGCCCCUCAGCAGUCUGAUUUCUGGGCGUCAACAGCUGCGGGGGGCCAGCCAUCCGGGGGUGGCAACCUCCCCAAAGGCAUUCUCUUUCUUCUGCAAAACAAGCUCACGAAUCCUCGAGACCCGAGUCACACCUUAAGUUGAACAAGAAAACAGCAAAUUGACGAGAUUCAUCCGUGUCUGUGCUGGGAACAAGGUCAAAAGGCGAUCAAGAUCUUAUUGAAUAUCUACAGUGACCCUCUGGCACCCCGUUUCACUAACAAGGACAAAUCCUUGCCUCCUCCAAGGCAGAAGGGGCCAACAUUACCAACUUGCUACCAAGUGGCUGUGGCCUCCUUGAGGAGUGGUUGCAGUGAGGGCUCAGCACCCACUGCUGCUGCCGGAGGUCAGGCCUUCACCAGCAGAGGAGCCGGAUUAAGCCAUGUGAGAGGGA